Ixodes scapularis (black-legged tick) is the source of this 324-nucleotide long non-coding RNA. RefSeq lists it as uncharacterized. Lineage: Eukaryota; Metazoa; Arthropoda; Arachnida; Ixodida; Ixodidae. The record is from RefSeq and is a predicted model, not a curated record. The transcript is spliced from 2 exons.
UCCUGUCUUUCUGCUUUGCUUCUUUUGUUACGUUGCGACCACGUUGGUUUUUGGUUUAUAGUCCAUUAGGUGUUUUACUGUUUUUUCAAUCAUGAGUCACGUCCUAAUAAGAUGGCUAAAUACGGGCAGGACCCGCCUUUUUGACGUUGUGAGCAUAAGGGACAUCGUUGACACAAAAAUCGGGGCGCUUAUAAUUCACAAUAGCAAAGAUCCAAGCGUGUUUGCAACCGACGUACUGAUACGUUGGAAGGGCGAGAAACACCCGGCAAGGAUCGAGGCUGUCGGGAGCGCCGCACAAAUGGAGAAGCGGUGUCAGCAAAUAAC